CCACAAUCCAGUGUCAAGAAAGAAGUCAACUUUUCUUCCCCUAUUUCCCUGCAUUUCUCCUCUGUGCUCACUGCCACACGCAGCUCAACCUGAGCUACACAGCCAGAUGCGAGAUGCUUCUCUGCUGAUCUGAGUCUGCCUGCAGCAUGGACCUUGGUCUUCCCUGAAGCAUCUCCAGGGCUGGAGGGACGACUGCCAUGGGCUGAGUCUGGGCCCCCGGACCCACGUGCAGGCAGGGACCCUCCCCAAGCCCACACUCUGGGCUGAGCCAGGCUCUGUGAUCACCCAGGGGAGUCCCGUGACCCUCUGGUGUCAGGGGAUCCUGGAGACCCAGGAGUACCGUCUGUAUAGAGAAAAGAAAACAGCACCCUGGAUUACACGGAUCCCACAGGAGAUUGUGAAGAAGGGCCAGUUCCCCAUCCCAUCCAUCACCUGGGAACACACAGGGCGGUAUCGCUGUUUCUACGGUAGCCACACUGCAGGCUGGUCAGAGCCCAGUGACCCCCUGGAGCUGGUGGUGACAGGAGCCUACAUCAAACCCACCCUCUCAGCUCUACCCAGCCCUGUGGUGACCUCAGGAGGGAACGUGACCCUCCAUUGUGUCUCACAGGUGGCAUUUGGCAGCUUCAUUCUGUGUAAGGAAGGAGAAGAUGAACACCCACAAUGCCUGAACUCACAGCCCCGUACCCAUGGGUGGUCCCGGGCCAUCUUCUCUGUGGGCCCCGUGAGCCCGAGUCGCAGGUGGUCGUACAGGUGCUAUGCUUAUGACUCGAACUCUCCCCAUGUGUGGUCUCUACCCAGUGAUCUCCUGGAGCUCCUGGUCCUAGGAGGGAGAACGUGACUUCCUCCAGCUCCCUGGCCCACAGCCCCAGGCUGGGCUCUCCCAGGCCAACUUCACCCUGGGCCCUGUGAGCCGCUCCUACGGGGGCCAGUACAGAUGCUCCGGUGCAUACAACCUCUCCUCCGAGUGGUCGGCCCCCAGCGACCCCCUGGACAUCCUGAUCGCAGGACAGUUCCGUGGCAGACCCUUCAUCUCGGUGCAUCCGGGCCCCACGGUGGCCUCAGGAGAGAACGUGACCCUGCUGUGUCAGUCAUGGGGGCCGUUCCACACUUUCCUUCUGACCAAGGCGGGAGCAGCUGAUGCCCCCCUCCGUCUCAGAUCAAUACACGAAUAUCCUAAGUACCAGGCUGAAUUCCCUAUGAGUCCUGUGACCUCAGCCCACUCGGGGACCUACAGGUGCUACGGCUCACUCAGCUCCAACCCCUACCUGCUGUCUCACCCCAGUGACUCCCUGGAGCUCAUGGUCUCAGGAGCAGCUGAGACCCUCAGCCCACCACAAAACAAGUCCGAUUCCAAGGCUGGAGCAGCUAACACCCUCAGCCCAUCACAAAACAAGACUGCCUCACACCCCCAGGAUUACACAGUGGAGAAUCUCAUCCGCAUGGGCAUAGCUGGCUUGGUCCUGGUGGUCCUCGGGAUUCUGCUAUUUGAGGCUCAGCACAGCCAGAGAAGCCUCUGAGAUGCAGCCGGGAGGUGAACAGCAGAGAGAAGAAUGUACCCUUCAGAGUGGUGGAGCCUUGGGAACAGAUCUGAUGAUGCCAGGAGGUUCCGGGAGACAAUUUAGGGCUGAUGCUAUCUGGACUGUCUGCCAAUCAUUUUUAGAGGGAGGAAUCAGUGUUGGAUUGCAGAGACAUUUUCUGGAGUGAUCCAUGAAGGACCAUUAACAUGUGAUACCUUUCCUCUCUAUUAAUGUUGACUUCCCUUGGUUGGAUCCUCUUCUUUCCCCACCCCCAGACAGACAUGAGGCUACAUCCCACAUGGCAGCGUUGGGUCCACACCUCUGCACAUCUGUGUGCUCUGGUCCAUGGUGUGUAACACAGUCUUCUUUAUUACUCAUUGCCAUACUCCCUGGUGUGCUUUACUGAGCCUCCAUCUCUUCAAUUCAGAGUUCCAAACGUGCUUCAGUAACUAAAUCAAUGGGAGAGUAUCGGAUUUCAACCAGGAAAAGAUAAAUCCACCCUGAUGCCCUGACACCCUCUCUGAACCCUACGAGCCCUUCCCUCCUUCUCACAUGCUACCUGUGCAGCUUCUCCUUAGAUCAUUGUGUAACCAUCACUGCCAUCCUGUUCCACACAUGGUCAUCACCCUACACCCAUUCAGCAGCCACUCCCCAUUCCCUCUUCCCUCCAGCACCUGCUAACCACAAAUGUGCUUUCUGUCUCUACGGAUUUGCCUAUUCUGUCUGAAAACAUUUCAAUCUCCUUUGACCUGUGAGCUCCUCACUUCGAGACUUCCUGCCUUUCCAGGCAGAACCAAAGUACACCACGUCAAAAGCAAUGAUAGGCAUUUGCAGUGUGUUGGUGAUCCACGAAAGGAAAAUCACGGAAGCAGGAUAGAAAUCCAGCUGCAGACAAGACCUCAGGUCGAUGAAUCUUGACAAGCAGUUGAGCUGUUUUUUUCUACUCACCUAGGACAGUCAGGCAGAAGUAUGCAAAAUGACUGGGGCUGAUUCUUUUCUGAAUUGUCGCAAACAGCAAGAGGACUUGAGUCCUAGCAUUAAAGAGUUCAACAUGUCUAGG
RNAcentral lists this unclassified non-coding RNA (2580 nucleotides) under Homo sapiens (human). RNAcentral describes it as "leukocyte immunoglobulin like receptor A1 (ENSG00000274935.5)". The record is from RNAcentral. Lineage: Eukaryota; Metazoa; Chordata; Mammalia; Primates; Hominidae.